GUAGGUGGCGAGCGUUAUCCGGAAUUAUUGGGCGUAAAGAGGGAGCAGGCGGCGGCAGAGGUCUGUGGUGAAAGACUGAAGCUUAACUUCAGUAAGCCAUAGAAACCGGGCUGCUAGAGUGCAGGAGAGGAUCGUGGAAUUCCAUGUGUAGCGGUGAAAUGCGUAGAUAUAUGGAGGAACACCAGUGGCGAAGGCGACGGUCUGGCCUGUAACUGACGCUCAUUCCCGAAAGCGUGGGGAGCAAAUAGGAUUAGAUACCCUAGUAGUCCACGCCGUAAACGAUGAGUACUAAGUGUUGGGAGUCAAAUUUCAGUGCUGCAGUUAACGCAAUAAGUACUCCGCCUGAGUAGUACGUUCGCAAGAAUGAAACUCAAAGGAAUUGACGG
This 386-nucleotide ribosomal RNA is filed under the name uncultured bacterium. RNAcentral describes it as "bacterial SSU rRNA". It matches the Rfam family "Bacterial small subunit ribosomal RNA", at positions 527 to 916 of the family's 1533-position model. The record is from RNAcentral.